UUAUUUCAACAGCAACACUGGCUCGCCUGAGCCCAGAAACUUGCGACAAAGAGCAGGAGGGUGGGGAGGUUCAAGAGAGCUAGCGAUGAUCAAGAGGCAAGGGUUGGAAAAGAACUUAUGAUCUGAUUCUUAAACUAGAGGAUGUGAUAUACUAGGGGUCCUUAGACGCAAGCGCUGAAGGGUUCCCAAGUUUUACACAUACACCCUCGGGUUGAAGAAAAGAUCACAGCCGAACCCUCGGGCGAGGCGGAUAAGGGUCGGCGGAACAGAUAGGGUCGGGCGAGACAGAACCGGGGUCGGGCGGAUAGGAGGGGUCGGGCGAGGCGGACUGGGGUCGGCAACUCACCUUCUUCCUGAAAGGAAAGCUCGGGGUCGGGAAGAAGCAGACUUGGGCGGAAGGUCUAAAGCUUCGAGCAAGGGCUAAGACUGGGACUGCUACGGCAGCGGCGGUGCUUCUUGCAGAUCACAAGAGAGCUUUUACGCAGCACGAAGGAGCAAGCUGCGGGGUGACUUGGAGAAAACUGAGAGAGAAUCUGAGAGAAGAAUUCCUGAAGAACUUGGUGGUUGGCGCUAAGAGCUUGAGCAGGGAGCGAGAGAAGGCUGAAGGCAACAACGGCGGAAGAAACUCCGGUGACUGGGGCAUUCCUUUUAUAGCUGCUGGAACGGAGAAGGAAGCGGCGCGGGAGAGAGAGAAGGGGAGUGGCGCGAAGGCUGGGGAGAAACAAUGGAGUGCUCUGCCGGGGCGGCGAUUGAGCGAAGAGGGCGGUGCUGCAGAACUCCGGGGGUGACGCCAGUGAUCAUUGCGUUCUGUCGUCAGGGCGGCGUAGGGGCGGUAGACCGGUGGUUGAGAUUUGGUGGAAAGCGGGCGUCGCCGUGCGGAAGAUUUUAUAGAAGCGACCGGUUUAACGGCGCUAGAAUCAAGGGCGCUCAGGUGAGAGGACAGGCAGCUGCGGGCGCGGGCGAGAGCGCGGAACAACAGAUUGUCGGGCGGCUUCUGACAAGGCGGGGGAAAGGAGCUGUCGCGGCCGCGGUCGGGGUUGGCGGUGGAGGAAUCGUCGGGUAGCGGAGACCGGGCGACGCGACUGUGGCUGAAGGGACGGAAAAGACGAGUGACAUCGGGCUCUGGGGCCGGGAUCUGGCGGCGUGAUGAUGGGCGCGGGAGGCGAGGCUCUGCAGAAAGGGGUGUAGAGGAGCUUCCGCUGCCAUUGGGGAAAAGAGGCGCGAGAAACCACUCGGUCGCUUGCCAGAGACAAAACUGAGCGGCUGGCGUCGGAGAAGACAAGCCACGCGGCAGGGAGACUCUGAAGCGGGCAUGCAACUCGAGUGCGGCUGUCGCGGAGGAUCUGAGAAAAGAUCUCACGGGUCCACCGGUGGAUAGAACGGAUGGUUGAGGAAGACUAGCAGGAUCCGACGGUGGGCUGCGCUGGCCGGGGUCGGGGGAGGAACGAAGCGGGGAGGGGUCGGAUCUCAGGGGUCGGAACCAGGCGGAUAGCUGAGCACUUAGGCGCGGUCAAGCAAGACAGAUGACUAAGGAAAAAGGGCUCCGAUUAGAUUAACUCGGGAGGUUUAGGGGUCGGUCGUUACAGCAUACCCCUCUUAAAAAGAAUCUCGUCCCGAGAUUCAGGGAUCAAGGGGGUGUGCUGUCCUUACCUCCUUGAUGGGAUAGAAAACCUGGGAAACGCUUGUUCAGAUAUUCGUCCGUUUCCCAUGUUGCUUCAUCUUCGGUGUGGUUUCUCCAGAGGAUCUUGUACAUCUUUACCACUUGGCGUCGGGUGUGCCUUUCCUUUUGGUCAAGAACUCGAUCUGGGUACUCGGCAUAGGUCAGGUCGGGCUCUACCUGAAGCUGUUCUUGCUCUAAGAUCUCUGCUGGAACUCGGACACAUUUCUUCAGUUGAGACACAUGGAAAACAUUGUGUAUGGCCGAUAGCUGUUCUGGGAGUUGGAUCCGAUAAUCAACGGGUCCACAUAUCUCCACAAUCUCAUAAGGGCCAAUAUAGCGGGGAGCUAACUUGCCUUUGAUUCCAAACCGUUGCACUCCUUUGGUCGGGGAUACUCGAAGGUACACAUGAUCACCAAGGUCGAACUGCAGGGGUCUUCUCCUCCGGUCGGAGUAACUCUUCUGUCGAGAUUGGGCAGCCUUGAGAUUUGCGUGAAUUACCUUUACUUGCUCUUCGGCUUCUGCCACUAAGUCAGGGCCAUACACCUGUCUUUCUCCUGGUUGGGAUCAGUUCAAGGGUGUCCUGCAUCUCCGGCCAUACAGGGCUUCGAACGGUGCCAUCUUCAAACUGGCCUGGUAGCUGUUAUUGUAGGAGAAUUCUGCUAAGGGCAGACACUUGUCCCAAUUCUUGUCAUAGUGGAUAACACAAGCUCUUAACAUGUCUUCGAGGAUCUGAUUGACUCUCUCGGUUUGACCAUCGGUUUGCGGAUGAUAUGUUGAGCUUCGGAUGAGCUUGGUGCCCAUGGAUGCUUGUAGUUGCUCCCAAAAACGUGCCACAAACUGAACUCCUCGAUCAGAGAUGAUGGUCUUGGGUACACCAUGUAGGGAAACUAUGCGAUCGAGGUACAACUCUGCAUACUGUUUGACUGUGCAGGUGGUGCGAACAGGAAGGAAGUGGGCGGUCUUGGUCAGACGGUCCACUAUAACCCAGAUGGAAUCAUAUCGUUGCGCUGUAAGGGGUAGUCCAACUAUGAAAUCCAUGCUGAUGUCUUCCCAUUUCCAAGAGGGAAUAGGUAGCGGCUGCAGGGUACCUGCUACCUUUAAAUGACUGGCUUUGACACGUUGACAGGUAUCACAUUCUGAAACAUACCGAGCUACCUCGAGUUUCAUUCCACUCCACCAAAAGGUCUGACGGAGAUCAUGGUACAUCUUAUUGCUGCCAGGAUGGAUUAAGAACUUGGAGAGAUGAGCUUCAUCUAGGAUCUGCUUUCUCAACUCGGGGUCGGCUGGUACUACUAGUCGGUUUCCAUAAUGCACACUUCCCUUUUGGUCCUGUCGGAACUGCUUAUAUCCUUCAUCCUUUACUGAGAUCUUACUGAUGAUCCGUUGUAUUUCCUUAUCUUUUACUUGUGCUGAUCGAAUUUGGUCUUCCAAAAUUGAGUCAAGGAUGAGGUGACCAAGGGUUCCUUGAGAAACAAUCUCCAAUUUGAGUUUUCCCAUCUCGUGACACAGAGUCUUGGUGAAGGCUGCUAACAACAAGCAGUUGCAAUGGUGUUUGCGACUGAGGGCAUCGGCUACCACAUUGGCUUUGCCGGGAUGAUAGUGCACUUCCAGUUCAUAAUCCUUUAUCAACUCCAGCCACCUUCUCUGGCGCAUGUUGAGGUCGGCCUGAGUGAAGAUGUACUUGAGGCUCUUGUGGUCGGUGUAGAUGUUGCAGUGAGCUCCUAUUAGGUAGUGCCUCCAUAUCUUCAAGGCAUGUAUCACUGCUGCCAACUCGAGGUCAUGGGUUGGGUAGCUUAGCUCAUGAGGUCGUAACGCCCGUGAGGCAUAGGCAAUGACUCGAUUGUCUUGCAUAAGAACAUAUCCGAGUCCAGUGCCAGAGGCGUCACAGUAUACGUCAUACGGCCUAGAGGGGUCGGGCUGAGCCAAAACUGGGGCUGUGGUCAGCAAGUGCUUCAGGGUCUUGAAGGCUUCUCCACACUUGCUGUCCCACACAAAUUUGACCUCUUUCUUCAGCAACUCGGUCAUCGGCUUAGCUAUCUUGGAGAAAUCCGGUAUGAAACGCCGAUAGUAACCUGCCAGUCCAAGGAAACUUCUGAUCUGGUGUACUGAGGCAAGAGACUUUCAUUCUAUGACUUCUUGCACCUUACUGGGAUCCACGGCGAUACCAUCCUUGGAGAUAGUGUGUCCCAAAAACUUGACACUAUCUAACCAAAACUCACACUUGGAGAACUUGGCAUAAAGCUGGUGAUCUCUUAGCCGUUGGAGAACUACACGAAGAUGGUCGGCAUGUUCUUCUUGGCUCUUCGAGUACACUAGGAUAUCAUCAAUGAACACCACUACAAACUUGUCCAGCUCGGGCAUAAACACCGAGUUCAUGAGGUACAUGAAAUAGGUGGGUGCAUUGGUGAGUCCAAAGGACAUGACUAGGUACUCAUACAGUCCAUAUCUGGUAGAGAAAGCUGUCUUGGGUAUGUCGCAGGGUCGAAUCUUGAUUUGGUGAUAACCAGAACGAAGAUCGAUCUUGGAGAACACCUUUGCUCUGGCUAACUGAUCAAAUAAGACAUCAAUGCGUGGCAGUGGGUACUUGUUCUUGACUGUCACCGCAUUGAGGGGUCGGUAAUCCACACACAUACGUAGACUGCCAUCCUUCUUCUUCACAAACAGGGCAGGGCAACCCCAAGAUGAGGUACUGGGUCGGAUGAAACCUUUUUCCAACAGAUCAUGCAACUGGGUCUUCAACUCGGCUAACUCAGUGGGUGGCAUCCGAUAGGGUCUCUUAGAUAUUGGGGCUGUGCCAGGAAUCAACUCUAUGGAAAACUCCACUUCUCUAUCAGGUGGCAUACCCGACAAAUCUUCUGGAAACACAUCAGGGUACUCACAGAUAACAGGGAGGUCUUCCAGACGGGCUCCCGACAGGGGGUAGGCACAAGGAAGUGCAGACUCAGGAUGGGUCAAGGAUAUGGUAGAACUGCCAUGGGAGGGCGAGGUGAUGUAGAGAGAUCGGGCUACUGUAUCUAGAACCACAUGAUGUCGGGCCAUCCAAUCCAUACCAAGGAUGACAUCUAUGCCUUCUAGGUCAAGGAUGAUAAGGUUUUCCUUGAAGAGGGUGGGGCCUAGCUGGAGAGGUACAAGAAUAACAAUCUGAUCCGAUGUUAUCCUUCCUCCAGGAGUGGCGAUCACAUAAGUUUCCUUAGUGUGACCGACAUCUAGCCCACAUCCUUCCCUAGCCUUACUCCCGAUAAAGCUAUGAGAGGCUCCCGAAUCAAACAGCUUGAUUUAAAACAAGGAAAGUACCCGUCAUUACUGGCGCACCUUCGGGGAGUUUGGUCAAGCUGGUGUAGUUGAGUUGGCCUUGUCGGACUUGCACCUUGGGCCUUCUUCCUCUGGCUGCCAUGGGGUUUGGACCUUGCUGUUGAUUCUUGUUCCUAGGGCAGUCCUUUGCAAAAUGUCCUUCAUUGCCGCAGGUAAAACAACGGUUACUGGCUGCCGGGCGAGGUGGUGUUGGCAGGGUCGGCCGGGGCACUUGCGGUUGGAAGCCUGGAAAACGAGGCGCUGUUACGGGCGGGGGUCGGGCGAUCCAUCUUCCUGACUGUUGGGGUCGGCCAGGGGCUUGCGGAGGAACCAUCCGGAACUUUCGAGUCGGCGGACUCAGAAAUGCCACAGAGGCCUUCCUCUUCUGGUCGGCCUUGAGAGCUUGCAUGCAGUCUUCUUGGGAAAUGGCCAGAUUGACCAACUCAUUGUAUGUAUCCACCUUGAUGGGGUUCAACCUUUCCCUGAGCUCCAAGCUCAGUCCUCGGCGGAAUCUGUCCCGCUUCUUCUCGUCGGUGUCCGCAUGGUAGCCAGCAUAACGGCACAGGUCGUUGAAAGCUUGGGUGUAGUGCAGCACAUCUCGAGUUCCUUGGGUGAGGGCCAGAAACUCGUUGAGCUUGCGCUCCAAAAGACCUUCUGGAAUAUGAUGCGCCUUGAACGCCGUCUUGAACUCGUUCCAACUGACCACGUGGCCAGCCGGCAGCAUGGCAUGGUAGUGAUCCCACCAAAGCCGCGCGGAGCCACGCAGCUGUUGGGCUGCAAACCGAGCCUUGUUGUUGUCGGGGCAUGGAGCGGUGAGAAGCUCAAACUUGGAUUCGAUCGUACGAACCCAAGCGUCAGCAUCGAGCGGUUCUUGUGUCUUUUGGAACAGAGGGGGUUGUGUCCCCAGGAAGUCCUCAUACCGAGCAAUAUGCGGCUGCUGCUGAGCUCUUCCACCAUGUGGCUGUUGCUGUUGCCCUUGCACCAAAUGCCUUAGCAGCUCAGUUUGAGUUGCUAGGAUCGCCUCCAGUGGAGAUGAAGGCGGGGGCGGGGGAAGAUCCUGUCGCUGAUCACUACUGCCGGGCACAGAACUAGACCUGGUGCGAUGCGCCAUCUGCAAGAGUUAACGCUCCAUUAAUUUCAUAACCUUAGGUGCACUCCAACAAAUGGAACGUACAAUUUAAAUCCCUUUAAUGCGACUCUUGCCAAUGGUGCAACACACGUCCUUAUGAGGGAAACACACUUUUCUCAUUCUCAGAGCAGAUGACAUCUAUCUUGACCUGGUACUCAACUUCGGCAAAACAUGUCACAUUCAGACUCUUAUGAUCCAACUCAAGCCAAAGGGUCGGACACGGUCCAUACUUAAAAAGGGUCGGACGAGGCGGAAACUGCCUCAAAGGGUCGGCGCACUCGGUCUCACAAGCUGGGGUCGGCCAAAGAACAGGUUCUCAGAACACAGCAUAUGGUCAUGGCGCAACUUACUCAACCUAGCAUCCACACCAUACAAAGAUGAAAAAGCUAUGCACCCGAAUUGAAUUUAUAUACAAGGAUGUUCCAACACAGGGAGUACUCAACUCUAGGCUAACCUAUUACAACUUUUCCAAAAUCUAGGCUGCCGAGGAGUACAACAAAAAGAUGGUUCCCUGAGAACCCUUAAUCUACCACUGGACACUAUGAGUCGGAGAAGGGGCGCCAUCUUCCUCAAUAUCCAUGCUGGACGCUCCCUCGUCUUCCUCAGGGUCCUCCUGAGCUUCAAGCUGCAUGUUGAGGGCAUGCAUAUCUUCGAGCUCAGCUUGAUGCUCCUCCAGAUGGGCAUUGGCAACUGCCAAUUCCAUUUCCACCUCCAUCUUUUCCUCCGAGAGCUCUAUCAUGCCGUCCACGAGGUCGGCAACCUCUCCUUCAAGCUCGGAGAUCCUAUCUUACAUGUUGUGGAUCUGGAUACCCCGGCGAAUCAGCUGGUAGGUUUGGCCUACCAUAUCUCUUCUUGCUGCCUGGAGGUACCCGUGAGUAUCUGCUGCCGUCCGGGCGAAGAGGGUCAUGGCUCUCCCUUGAAGCUCUAUCAACCGGUAGAGAGCGGCCAUGCACCUGAUGUUGGUGGAGAUGGUGACCAGGGCGCAGGUGGUGGCUAGCACUUCGAUGUUCCCGACGCGGUCAAGCCAUGCCGGGUCCAGCCGGUUCCUGACGGGGAAGAGGCCGAUCGGGUCGAGCGUGAUCUCCACGGGGUGCAGCUGACAGAACUGGGUGAGCAACUGGAGGGCGGCAGAUUCCCAUAUAUCCUCAGGAGCGAGGCCAUAGACUAUUAUGCCAAAAGAGGGCCAGUCGGGCCGUGCAGGGGGAGGAGGUACCAAGGCCUGCACCUGGCACGUCUGGACGCCCUGCUCCAAAUAUAACCGUCCGGCAUAUAGGGGUGGGGACUGGUACCCGAACCACUUCAAUGUAUCCCACAAAAUCGCGGGGAAUCCCUAGAAAUGUAGACAUGUCGACUGGAAGGUACCGUCUGCUCCAAAAACAACAUGUCCGGGAACAGCCAUCUGGAACCAAGAACCAAAACCACGUGAGACAGAUUCCAAGGGUCAGGGGUCGGAUAGAGAAACAUUCGGUUUUAACUGAGAGGAACUAAAAGAACUAGAAAUCCUUAGAUCCAAAAGAACUCUUCUGAACAAGGUUGCUGUUGAGAGGGAACAUUACAGAUUUUUAGGUAUGACGCAUGCACGGCCUACCUUACACUUAACCCAAAACAACUGCCCGAACUCGGGUCUUACGCGGUCAGUGCCGGUGACAAGGCAACAAUUACGUCUCUCCCUAUAAUAACUAGUCGGUUCUACAACGCCUCCUAAACGAACGCGGUUAGCGUACCUGCAGAAAAACACCACACACGAACCUUUCGUGCCAGCACCCACGAAAGCGUUCCAUAACAUUACCGCUCACUAUAGGAACGGCACCCAUGCGUUUAAGGCUGCAUGGACAGCACUCAACCGUGGAAAUAUGUUCCUCUUGAAUAGAACCAUAUAACCCUUCGCAUACUCGUGAUGCGGAAUCGGCACACGUAUGACAAACGUGGCGAACCGACCGUGCUGAUAGGUUCGUUGGAAUCGAACCGUACCAACCUUCGUAUGGAACACAUACGAAACCUGCACAUGUGUGAUAGACGUGGGCGAAAACAACCGCGAAGAUAGGGUCCUUUGAAUGGAACUCCCUAUCAACCCUCGCAUGCUCGCGAUGCGGAACUCGGCACACGUAUGACAGACGUUGCGAAGUGCUGGAAGGGUUAGCAAAAUAACCAAGUACUUAUUAGUCACCUAAAACAACCCCAAAAUCCCCUAGGGCCUCUCGCACUAAGGUCAUCCUUAACGGUCGUACGAGAUUUUUCAAAAAUUUCUUGCAACUUUUAUCCCUUCAAAGAAGUGUGUAGGGCUUGUUGGGUUCUCUGAAAUGCUAAACACGAGCUCUGAUACCAGCUAUGGCGGAUCCACUUCGGAUUAGCUUGAUUUAGAUAGGGUUAAGCCGCCUAACAUGCGACACUCCUGUCUAAGCCGAGUUAACACGAAGUGCCGUCGGAUUUCCUCCAAUUUAACCACUUAGACAGGAUCGAGUUUAGCAACCCACGCGAAGGUGAGAGGUUCCAGAGAAUACAACGAGUCCACUGAAUUAAACAAAUUUACCCAUUUAGUUCGGCCAUAAAAUCCAAUAUCAGAGUUUUACAAGAUUCAAAAGAACAACAAAGAAAACACUAGCGGAAGACUUCGUCGGGGUCGGACAUCCCUGGUGAGGCCAACCGGGAUAUCACUGGUUCCUUUCCUCGCCGUCCGAGGAGGGAUCCCACUCGACCGUCCAGCCUGGCGGAAGUUGGGGCGGCCAAGCGCCAGCAAGAGAGGGUCGGGCGCAGCAACCUCACCUGAAAAACAGGAGCCACAACAAGGCUGAGCUACUAAGCUCAACAAGACUUAACCGAUAGGAGUGAGCUACUCCUCCAUCUAGACAUGCAAGGCUUUUUGGCUGAGGGGUUGUUUGCCAAAAGCACUAAGUAACCCUAUUUUCAAGUUUUAGCUCCGGUUCUAGGUUCAUUUACCAGUCUAGGUGGUGCGAUCUAUUCUAAGCAAUCAUAGAGCCAAACAAGAUGUGUAGAUAUAACAACAACUUUGCCAUCAUCAGAUUCCUCAUUUACUCAGGGUGACAUAGCGAUCAAGCAAUCUCAAACUGUGAGAGGCAGACGAAUCGAUUCGAGUUCUUUAACCAUGCAUGGUGAACCUAGCCUCACGACAUCCGCGCACCCGGAGGUCGCUUCCUGUGUCGGCCUUCUCCAUCAAUCCCCUAACCCGUGUCGGGCCCAUUUCCUUUGGUGCAAGGUUCCACAGACUCGGCCUCUGCCGUCCCGUGACCACGCUUGCCACCACGUGCGACAAUCAGCAGGGGAAACUCCGUUCCAAGAACAAUGGGGCGACCGCUCACGUCUAGGUUCAAUCCGGUACUAGGCUUCCUCAUCCCAUACUAAGUAUGAGGCUAGUACUUUCAAACACUUGAUCACGAACACCACCACUGUCGGGCCUUAGCAAAAAUUUCAUAGACAGACGGGGCAACAAACCAUCCACCAAAGAGUUACCCAAGCCUGCCCCGUCCAUCGUCCUUAUAGUUGUAACAGGAGAGUAAACAAGCAACUCCUACAACUCGCGAGUGACAGGAAAUCACUCGGCUUUUACCGUCUCCUAGUUAAGCCAUGCAUCUACUCGGUCCAACAGCUAGUGCUCAGAUCAUGGGGACACUAAGUCAUGCAUCUAGGGUUUCAUACAACUCCUAUACGUAAAUGCACAAGCAUGUUACAGAAGGCAUGCGCAAGUCUGGUAAAACACAUAGGACUUCCAUGCAACCGGGGCUUGCCUUCAAGCAAAGAGGAGGGAAACGGCUCGACUUCUGGGGCGACUUCGGCUUCUGCGGGCAGGAACUCGGCUACAGCUUCUUCUUCUGGCGCCGGGUGCAACUCGUAGAAGCCGUCGGCGAGGUGCAGCUCUGUACGAAUGCAAUGCAAGGGUUAGCUUAGACAGUUAUUUCAACAGCAACACUGGCUCGCCUGAGCCCAGAAACUUGCGACAAAGAGCAGAAGGGUGGGGAGGUUCAAGAGAGCUAGCGAUGAUCAAGAGGCAAGGGUUGGAAAAGAACUUAUGAUCUGAUUCUUAAACUAGAGGAUGUGAUAUACUAGGGGUCCAUGAUUUGUAUAUUGUGUUCAUUGAAUAUCCAUUAAAGGCUACUUGAAUUGAUUUGCAAUUAUGUGAAUUGUAUGUGAAACUCUUUACUUGUAUGGUUAUUCUAAAGUUGUCCCUAGUCGGAGUUCAUGUGAGGACACACAUGAAUAUUAGACUAGCACAUGUAUUAGUUGAUGACUAUGUUUCACAAGUCAUGGACAUGGAGAUGUUGAACUAAUAAUGUGGACACAUGUGGCGACAUGUGUUAGGACUGACCCAACACGAGAAGUAGUUCUCUCUUUAAAACAACAUAUACGCUUUGUCCUUAGACCUGAGAUUGUCGCAUGUAUUCUAGAUGUGGAUCGACCUACUUAGGGGCUAUCAAACGCUACACCGUAACAGGGUAGUUAUAAAGGUAGUUUUCGGGUUUGUCAAGAAGCAUGCUAUGAGACAUGGUCAAUCAAGAUGGGAUUUGCCCCUCUCUGAUUGAGAGUGAUAUCUCUGGGCCCCUCGAGUGAUUGGAUCCGAAAAUGCAUGGCCAUGCUACGUACGGUUAAGAGUUAACCUACAAAGGGAUUCCGAAUCACAGGAUCGAGAAAGAGCGGUCGGCUUGAAGCUAGACCAAAUAUCGUGAGGCAAAGGGAAUAGCAUGUAUAUUAUAUUGUGAUGGUUCGUCUGAUAUGAUCUUCGUGUGCGUAUAGGAGUUGGCACGUCUUGCUAGAGGCCGCUACCGACUAUUGGGCUGAGUAGGAGUACUCGGGCCAUGUCUAUACGUAUCCGAACCCAUAGGGUCGCACACUUAAGGGGCUGGAAGCCCAAUUCGGAUCUGAUCCGAGUUGGAUUAGGUUUAGGAGUACUAAUGGGCCUCGGAUCCUGAGGCCCAUCAGGAACCUCUAUAAAUAGAGGGGUGGGGGCGCCCUAGGGUUUACACCUUUUGGCGAAACACACCUGCCGCGCCUCCCACGCCCUCGCCUGUUGCAACUCGCGGAUCUAGCAGUCCGGCUUGCGACGCUUCCUCCCUGCACGUGUGGAUACCUUGGAGGUGUUGCGCCUGCAGCACUUGGACGAGCCGCCGACGAGCCACGACGAGCCGACGACGAGCCGCGGCACCGGAGGCGAUCUUGCUGCACGUGGGAGCUGCUGGACGUGACGUGAUCGACUACGUACGACUACGUUGAUCGACUACGUACGACUACGUGAUUGUCUUCACUGCAUCGACGCAUAUCUACAUCUUCCGCACCAGUAGUGCGUCGAGUGGUAAUCCCGUGAUCCUUAUACGGCAGUUCUUCCUAGUUAUACGCGGUAGAAAUUUUGAUUUACGCUAGUGUAGCCUACCUCGUAUCCCUACAGUGGUAUCAGAGCCGUAGCUGCUUAGUUUUGGAUUCGGGAUGUGUGCAUAUGGAGAUAUGCGAGUUUUCUGUUUGAUCUAUGUCCUGGUUUCGUGCCCUUGCUGCAAUGGUAGUGUAACGACAUACUCCUACCGGUCGGUUUCCGCCAUCGGAGUUAAGUGAUACAUGUAAAUCCAGUUGCAGUGAGCGAAGAUCAAUAUGAUUGGUCGAAUCGAGAUCCAGGGUCAUACGCCAGGCGCAUUAGAUGUGCAAUAGUAUAUGGGAUCUACUGCCGGGGUCGGGAUUUUGCCGUAUGCGUAUGCUUCGGUAAAUCAGCCGUAACUUUUCGGUACGAUCUCGGAUCGGGGUGAUUUUUAUACGAAAAUUGAUCUACAGAAAAAGUUACACAUGAAUUUCAACAAUUUCGCCGUUUUCGGCGAAAUUAGAUUUCCCAAAUUCGGCUUGGAAGAUGGAGUUUCGGGCCUCCAAAGUUUGGAACGUUAGGACGCCUAACUCUGUUUUGCAGGAUGUAUGUAUGUAUCUUGUGAUCAGUAUGGCCCCCUUGUGUAUGUGAUGCAUGUGUGUAACUCAUUCGUGACCAGCGUGUCGCGCGUACGGCAACACGGCAGGAGCCAUAUGUGUUGUCACUUUAUUGUAUUUAAUGGUCUGCGUACCAAUCUGUGAUGAUCCAAGCAACUAUGUAAUCUUCAUUACUAGAUUCUUUACUAGCUAUUAGGCGUAAUAGCAUGCUCUAGUUCUUGGAGGACUCAUCACCAGGAGGAUGGCGCACAUGGAACAUGGAGAUGGAGAUCACCAUGGUGAACAGGUUCUAUGGAGAUGGAGAUCACCAUAUGAAAACGGGCCAUACUGUGUCACAACUGUGUGAAUGCUAUUCUAUUUAUGUUUUACUUUCUGCAUGCUGUGAUGUUAGAAGUAGAACGAUCCCUCACAAAGUUUAAGUUAGUAUGCCCUCCCAACUAAAACUUGCACCGUCCCAUGUCUUGUACAAUUAGUGGUGGGUCUAUGAAAUUAGGGUGCCACUAGUUUUCCUUGACUAGAUGGGUUUGUGUCGGACACUUACACGCAUAAGGGUUGGUUUGCUUAACAAGGUUAUCUUAACGGUUAAGGACCUUGGGGUAUAAAGGUUGGGCGCCGAGACAUAGAGAUGUCACCCAACAACAGGAGUCAUAUGUGAUAUGAUUAGCAAAAGUUGCUUACCGAUCUACCUCGUUUGCUAGCGGUGAUGCAAAAGCUCACUAGUAAACUUGUUAGUUGUGGAUCGUGAAUCACUAAGUUUCAAUAGAGGGAUAUUGAUUUUAGUGGGAGUAGAUUCUGUUAAAAUAGUUUAAUAUAAUUUGCUCUAUCAUGGAUACGUUUGUCUUAGUGUAUUUUGCAUUACUUUUGUUGUAGAUUAAAUGGCACCUAGCAACACCACCACAUCGUUUGCUUUGCGUUCGGUCCUUGAGAAGGACAAGUUGAAUGGAACAAACUACUCGGAUUGGAUCCGUAACCUGAGAAUUGUUCUCAGGGCUGAGAAAAAGGAAGAUGUUCUAGACAACCCACUACCAGAAGAACCUGCUGAUGAUGCACCCGCUGCUGCUAAGAAUGCUUACAAGAAAGCAUGUGAUGCUAACCUCGAAGUAAGCUGCCUUAUGCUUGCUUGCAUGGAACCCGAGUUGCAGAUGCAGUUCGAAACAAACCAUGAGGCGCACGAUAUGAUCGUGGCGCUUAGAGACAUGUUCCAAACACAGGCCAGGACUGAAAGGUUCAAUGUGUCUAAGGCCUUUGUUGAGAGCAAGCUAGCAGAAGGCGCAGCAGUAGGACCACACGUAAUCAAGAUGGUUGGUUACACUCAACGGUUGGAGAAGCUAGGGUUCCCAUUGGGCCAAGAGUUGGCCACUGAUUUCAUUCUUUCGUCUCUUCCACCUAGCUAUGGGAACUUCAUCUCGAACUACCAUAUGCAUGGGACAGAGAAGGGUCUUAAUGAGCUGUGUGGCAUGCUUAAAACAGCAGAGGCUGACAUCAAGAAAAGCGCUAGUACCAGCCAUGUGAUGGCGAUACAGAACAAGCCCAACUUUAAGAAGAAGGGCAAUUCUUGGAAGAAGAAGGGCAAGGCUGGAACGUCCAAGCCAAACCCACCGCCCAAGGUUAAAGCUGGACCUGGACCUGCUCCAGACAAAGAGUGCUUUUACUGUCAUGAACUUGGUCACUGGAAGAGAAACUGCAAGCAGUACCUAGCUUCCUUGAAGAAUGGCGGAAGUAAGAGUACUUCUACCUCAGGUGCGCUUGUUGUUAAUGUUAUAGACAACAUAUUUCUCGCUGAUACAAUUAUUAAUUCUUGGGUAUUUGAUACCGGAUCGGUUGCUCAUAUUUGCAAUUCGAUGCAGGGAAUGAUAAGAAGUAGAAGCGUGGAAAGAGGAGAAGUUGAUUUCCGCGUGGGCAAUAAUGCAAGAGUUGCUGCGUUGACCGUCGGGACGAUGCAACUCCACCUCCCGUCAGGAUUUAUUAUGGAGUUGAAUAAUUGUUAUUUUGUUCCUAGUUUAAGUCGAAACAUUUUAUCUCCUUCAUGCUUGAUGAAGGAUGGUUAUUCAUUUGCGAGUGAAAACAAUGGUUGUGUGAUCUCUAAGAAUAAUAUGUUUAUGGCUUUUGCACCCAUUGUGAAUGGAUUAUUUGUUUUAAAUCUUGAUGGUUCACCUGUCUGUAAUGUAAGUGCUAAAAAGCCUCGGCCUAAUGAUUUGAGUCCUACCUACUUGUGGCAUUGUCGUUUGGGUCAUAUAAGUGAAAAGCGCAUGAAGAAGCUCCAUUCUGAUGGACUUCUAACUUCGUUUGAUUUUGAAUCAUACGAGAUAUGUGAGGCUUGCUUGCUAGGCAAGAUGACCAAGACGCCUUUCACAGGAUUUCCUGAGAGAGCAGUAGACUUGUUGGAACUCGUACAUAGUGAUGUAUGCAGACCAAUGAGCACGACGGCUAGAGGAGGAUUCCAAUACUUCAUAACAUUCACUGAUGAUUUUAGUAGAUAUGGCUAUGUCUACUUGAUGAGGCACAAGUCUGAAACCUUUGAAAAGUUCAAGGAAUUUCAGAAUGAAGUUGAAAAUCAGCGUGGCAAGAAAAUUAAGGCCUUACGAUCUGAUCGUGGAGGCGAGUAUUUGAGCCACGAGUUUAGCAAUCAUCUAAAGAGUUGCGGAAUUGUUCCACAACUUACGCCGCCUGGAACACCUCAGAGAAACGGUGUGUCCGAGCAACGUAAUCGAACUUUGUUAGACAUGGUUCGAUCAAUGAUGAGCCAGUCGGACCUACCGUUGUCAUUUUGGGGAUACGCUCUAGAAACAGCAGCUUUCACACUAAAUAGGGUACCAUCUAAAUCCGUAGUUAAGACACCAUAUGAGAUAUGGACUGGAAAUGUUCCUAGUUUGUCUUUUCUAAAGAUUUGGGGAUGUGAAGUGUUUGUCAAGCGACUUCAGUCGGACAAGAUCACACCCAAGUUGGAUAAGUGCAUUUUCGUGGGAUAUCCAAAGGAAACUUUGGGAUAUUAUUUCUACAACCGAUCAGAAGGCAAAGUGUUUGUCGCUCGGAACGGGGUUUUCCUAGAGAAAGAGUUUCUCAAAGGAGAAAAGAGUGGAAAGACAGUGCAUCUUGAAGAAGUUCAAGAUGAACCAAUCGGGCAAGAAUCAAUGAGUGAUGCUAACGUAGCAGAACAAGUUGAGAUACCCAUGGCAAGAGAAGCACCGCCACAACCACGAAGGUCAGCAAGGCUCCGCGAAAUGCGAGAAAUAUUAUUGUUGGACAAUGAUGAGCCUGCGACAUAUGCAGAAGCAAUGAUGGACCCAGACUCCGAAAAAUGGCAGAGUGCCAUGCAAUCCGAAAUAGAGUCCAUGGGAGACAAUCAAGUUUGGAACUUGGUUGACCCGCCUGAUGGUGUUAAAGCCAUAGAGUGCAAGUGGAUCUAUAAGAAGAAAAAGGACAUGGAUGGAAAUGUUCACAUCUAUAAAGCACGACUUGUCGCAAAAGGUUUUCGACAAGUUCAAGGAGUUGACUACGACGAGACCUUCUCGCCCGUAGUGAUGCUUAAGUCCAUUCGGAUUAUUCUAGCUAUAGCUGCAUAUUUCGAUUAUGAGAUAUGGCAGAUGGAUGUCAAGACAGCUUUCCUGAAUGGAAACCUAACUGAGGACGUGUAUAUGAUACAGCCCGAGAGUUUUGUCGAUCCGAAAAAUGCUGGAAAGGUAUGCAAGCUUCAGAGAUCCAUUUAUGGAUUGAAGCAAGCAUCUAGGAGUUGGAACAUUCGUUUUGAUGAAGUGGUCAAAGGGUUUGACUUCACCAAGAACGAAGAAGAAUCUUGUGUUUACAAGAAGGUUAGUGGGAGCUCUAUAGUAUUUCUAAUCUUAUAUGUGGAUGACAUAUUACUAAUUGGAAAUAACAUUCUUAUGCUUGAGUCCGUAAAGACUUCACUGAAAAAUAGUUUUUCGAUGAAGGACUUAGGGGAAGCGGCAUAUAUUCUGGGCAUUAAGAUCUAUAGAGAUAGAUCGAGAAGGCUUAUAGGUUUAAGCCAAGAUACUUACAUUGACAAAGUGUUGAAGCGGUUCAGCAUGGAAGAGGCAAAGAAAGGGUUCUUGCCUAUGUCACAUGGCAUACAUCUCAGCAAGACUCAGUGUCCUUCGACUGCUGAUGAGCGGGAUCGCAUGAGUAGAGUGUCAUAUGCCUCGGCUAUUGGAUCUAUCAUGUAUGCAAUGAUAAGUACUCGCUCAGAUGUUUCAUAUGCGCUAAGUAUGACAAGCAGACACCAAUCUGAUCCAGGUGAGAGUCACUGGACAGCGGUGAAAAACAUUCUUAAGUACUUGAGAAGGACUAAAGAUAUGUUCCUCGUCUAUGGAGGUGAGGAGGAGCUCGUUGUAACAGGUUACACCGAUGCUAGUUUCCAAACCGACAGAGAUGAUUCAAAGUCACAAUCAGGAUUUGUGUUCACACUAAAUGGUGGUGCUGUUAGUUGGAAGAGUUCCAAGCAGGAGACGGUGGCCGAUUCUACGACAGAAGCCGAGUACAUCGCGGCUUCGGAAGCCGCGAAGGAAGGUUUUUGGAUAAGGAAUUUCCUCAUUGAGCUUGGUGUGUUCCCGAAUGCGUCCAGCCCAUUGAAUCUCUACUGUGAUAAUAAUGGGGCAAUUGCGCAAGCAAAGGAGCCAAGGAACCACCAGAAGAAUAAACACGUAAUGCGGCGAUUUCAUCUCAUUCGAGAUCAAGAUAUGCAAAAUACACACGGAUCUGAACAUUUCUGAUCCGUUGACAAAACCACUCCCGCAGGCUAAGCAUGAUGCGCAUGUAAGAGCUAUGGGUAUUAGGUACCUUCUAGAUUGACUCUAGUGCAAGUGGGAGACUGUUGGAGGUAUGCCCUAGAGGCAAUCAUAGAGAUGAUGAUAUUCCAUUUGUAUCCAUGAUUUGUAUAUUGUGUUCAUUGAAUAUCCAUUAAAGGCUACUUGAAUUGAUUUGCAAUUAUGUGAAUUGUAUGUGAAACUCUUUACUUGUAUGGUUAUUCUAAAGUUGUCCCUAGUCGGAGUUCAUGUGAGGACACACAUGAAUAUUAGACUAGCACAUGUAUUAGUUGAUGACUAUGUUUCACAAGUCAUGGACAUGGAGAUGUUGAACUAAUAAUGUGGACACAUGUGGAGACAUGUGUUAGGACUGACCCAACACGAGAAGUAGUUCUCUCUUUAAAACAACAUAUACGCUUUGUCCUUAGACCUGAGAUUGUCGCAUGUAUUCUAGAUGUGGAUCGACCUACUUAGGGGCUAUCAAACGCUACACCGUAACAGGGUAGUUAUAAAGGUAGUUUUCGGGUUUGUCAAGAAGUAUGCUAUGAGACAUGGUCAAUCAAGAUGGGAUUUGCCCCUCUCUGAUUGAGAGUGAUAUCUCUGGGCCCCUCGAGUGAUUGGAUCCGAAAAUGCAUGGCCAUGCUACGUACGGUUAAGAGUUAACCUACAAAGGGAUUCCGAAUCACAGGAUCGAGAAAGAGCGGUCGGCUUGAAGCUAGACCAAAUAUCGUGAGGCAAAGGGAAUAGCAUGUAUAUUAUGUUGUGAUGGUUCAUCUGAUAUGAUCUUCGUGUGCGUAUAGGAGUUGGCACGUCUUGCUAGAGGUCGCUACCGACUAUUGGGCCGAGUAGGAGUACUCGGGCCAUGGCUAUACGUAUCCGAACCCAUAGGGUCGCACACUUAAGGGGCUGGAAGCCCAAUUCGGAUCUGAUCCGAGUUGGAUUAGGUUUAGGAGUACUAAUGGGCCUCGGAUCCAGAGGCCCAUCAGGAACCUCUAUAAAUAGAGGGGUGGGGGCGCCCUAGGGUUUACACCUUUUGGCGAAACACACCUGUCGCGCCUCCCACACCCUCGCCUGUUGCAACUCGCGGAUCUAGCAGUCCGACUUGCGACGCUUCCUCCCUGCACGUGUGGAUACCUUGGAGGUGUUGCGCCUGCAGCACUUGGACGAGCUGCCGACGAGCCACGACGAGCCGACGACAAGCCGCGACACCGGAGGCGAUCUUGCUGCACGUGGGAGCUGCUGGACGUGACGUGAUCGACUACGUACGACUACGUUGAUCGACUACGUACGACUACGUGAUCGUCUUCACUGCAUCGACGCAUAUCUACAUCUUCCGCACCAGUAGUGCGUCGAGUGGUAAUCCCGUGAUCCUUAUACGGCAGUUCUUCCUGGUUAUACGCGGUAGAAAUUUUGAUUUACGCUAGUGUAGCCUACCUCGUAUCCCUACAAGCGGAGACCGAGCGGCGCGACUGUGGCUGAAGGGACGGAAAAGACGGGCGACAUCGGGCUCUGGGGCUGGGAUCUGGCGGUGUGAUGAUGGGCGUGGGAGGCGAGGCUCUGCAGAAAGGGGUGCAGAGGAGCUUCCGCUGCCAUUGGGGAAAAGGGGCGCGAGAAACCACUCGGUCGCUUGCCAGAGACAAAACUGAGCGGCUGGCGUCGGAGAAGACGAGCCACGCGGCAGGGAGACUCUGAAGCGGGCAUGCAACUCGAGUGUGGCUGUCGCGGAGGAUCUGAGAAAAGAUCUCACGGGUCCACCGGUGGAUAGAACGGAUGGUUGAGGAAGACUAGCAGGAUCCGACGGUGGGCUGCGCUGGCCAGGGUCGGGGGAGGAACGAAGCGGGGAGGGGUCGGAUCUCAGGGGUCGAAACCAGGCGGAUAGCUGAGCACUUAGGCGCGGUCAAGCAAGACAGAUGACUAAGGAAAAAGGGCUCCGAUUAGAUUAACUCGGGAGGUUUAGGGGUCGGUCGUUACACUCGAGGGUUUAGACAGGUUCGUAAUACCCUACGUUCUGUAUUUUGGGGGUUUGUAUUGCUCGAGAAUUGAG
Molecule: long non-coding RNA, 18797 nt
Filed under: Setaria viridis
Lineage: Eukaryota; Viridiplantae; Streptophyta; Magnoliopsida; Poales; Poaceae
Description: long non-coding RNA (SVIR_LNC009358)
Source: RNAcentral